AUGAAAUUUAUAUUAUUACGUGUCGUCAUGCAAUUUGGCCUUGUCACAUGUCGCAUCACGUCUUUAAAGUACUGUAUUUGUGAACAGGCAUUAAGAAAAAUAAGUCAGAAUCAUGUGAGACACCUCCCGGUAUGCGCAACAUUAUAUGGUUAUUACUCCUAUAUCAGAAGCUUUGGGGUUCCAAUGGCAAAAUAUUUACAGUGCACUUUGUUAUUCCUUUCUUCAUGUUUGGUACAUUCAGCAAGGGAUACUACUGUACCUAACCAACCUCAAGUAUUGGAGAAAGGUGAUGUUUUGAAGCCAGCAGCUUCGUGA
RNAcentral lists this ribosomal RNA (315 nucleotides) under Triticum aestivum (bread wheat). RNAcentral describes it as "partial small subunit ribosomal RNA". The record is from RNAcentral. Lineage: Eukaryota; Viridiplantae; Streptophyta; Magnoliopsida; Poales; Poaceae.